RNAcentral lists this ribosomal RNA (200 nucleotides) under uncultured bacterium. RNAcentral's name for it is "partial 16S ribosomal RNA". It matches the Rfam family "Bacterial small subunit ribosomal RNA", at positions 28 to 227 of the family's 1533-position model. The record is from RNAcentral.
GACGAACGCUGGCGGCGUGCUUAACACAUGCAAGUCGAACGGAAAGGCCCUGCUUUGUGGGGUGCUCGAGUGGCGAACGGGUGAGUAACACGUGAGUAACCUGCCCUUGACUUUGGGAUAACUUCAGGAAACUGGGGCUAAUACCGGAUAGGAGCUCCUGCUGCAUGGUGGGGGCUGGAAAGUUUCGGCGGUUGGGGAUG